AUCCAGCUGACAAGUUCAAAACAGGACAACACACAUGUCCUGGAU
Molecule: non-coding RNA, 45 nt
Organism: Schistosoma mattheei
Lineage: Eukaryota; Metazoa; Platyhelminthes; Trematoda; Strigeidida; Schistosomatidae
Source: Rfam